This is a non-coding RNA of Oryctolagus cuniculus (rabbit), 17415 nucleotides long. Lineage: Eukaryota; Metazoa; Chordata; Mammalia; Lagomorpha; Leporidae. The record is from RefSeq and is a predicted model, not a curated record.
CACGUGAGGCUGGAGCUACCUGAAAUCUGCAGGCUAAUCACUCCCAGAUGGCCCUGGGGAUGUCCCUCCCCUACCCCUCCUCCCGGAAGAGGGUGGGGGUGGGCUUUAAAGGGACAGUGGGAGGGAAAUGAACGUCCGUGGAGGUGUGGUGCCCGCAACUUUGGGGACCACCACCCUGACACAGCUCCCCAAACAAAAUCACCCAGCUUGGCCCCUGCCCCUAGGCCAAACUGUGCUUUCUCUGGAAGAAGCAGGCUGAGGCAGAGGAGGAGGAGGAAGGGAGAAACGCCCCCUUCAGGACAGAGCCCUGCCUUGGCUUGGGGGUGGGGUGCACUGGGCGGAGCUCGUUCCAAGAGGUAUUUAUUUCCUUAUUAAAUGUCAGACGUGCCACAGCGCUUUGCUGCUUCUGGGUAAAACCCGGGGCUGAGCUGCGUGGAGUGGUGCAUGCAGGGCAGGGAUCAGGAAUCUGGGUUCCCUUCCAGUCCCGGGGUGGGGGCAGUCAGCCCGUGUGGGAAACGCAACCAGCUGGCCAGACCUGGCCACCGUCUGCUCAGAGCCUGGGUUCUCCUUGCUUUGUCUGUGUCAUGGCCUGUGUCCCUCUCCUUCCAAAGCCAGCCUGUGCCUGGACUUCCCAUGGAUCUAUACAGUUCUCUCUCCCGCCAGUGGCCACCCAUGCACACAGCACAGAGUCACUUGGUCAUACAGAGGAGUCCUAGGAACAUCCACCUGUCCCCACCUCCCUGUCAUUCUCACACGCAUGCAUGCACGCGUGUGCACACACACACACACACACGUCACCCUAAAGCCCACAUACUCCUCUGCUCCAUGCCUUGCCAUCUGUUGCUGAAAACAAUCAUUCCUUGCUAAUGACUGUUCCUUGCGUCUACUCAUCAACUCUGUUCCCUGGAUAGCUCUUGGAGGCCGCGCAGGGGAAGGAAAUCACCCUCCUUGCUGCUCACGGAAAGAAACAGAAGCCUGAAAAGAGUGCGGCGCGGGCUCAAGGUCACGCAGUUAAUGGGGGAGGCAGAUCUCGGGAGCCCGCGUCCUGGGGGCCGCGCCUGCCAGCCCCGUCCACCAUGCACACGUGGAAUUCCACACGCAGCUGUGACAACAGAGGCCAGCGCAUCCAACGGCCCCACGCCUCCGCAUUCCGAUUGUUCUCGUGCAGGCCCUGGCUCUUGUUCUGGGCCGUGUGCAGGGAGUUGGGGGGACUCCCCUCUUUUGUGAAGCGUCUCCUCCCUUCUGCCCUAAUCAGAGUUUGGCUGCCUUUGUCUCGGAAGAGAAGAGAACAAAGUGUGACUUGAACCGUGCACAUUGUACGGGCCCUCUAUUCUUCCCGUUUCCUUUUUGUGGGAACCUCUCCGGCUCUGCAGGAAUGGCCCAUGGGUUCAUUUUUGUUUCGGAGCCACGGUCCUGCUUAAUUGUACCGUGGUGUGUGUUGGGGUUUCUUUGCUCCUUGUGUUAGAUGGUAGCCUUUUCGUAUCUUGAGCUGGGCUUGUUCAGAUUUAUGGAAUUAUUUCACCCUGCAAAGCCGAAGUAGGAUGCCACCACCCCCUUAAAGCUGGCCGGGUCCUCGCCAUUUGGGACGUGCAGGGGCCUCUGUUAUCAACCCGAUCCUUUUCAGCUGUGCAGGGCAUUUAUUAAUGAGAGGCAGUGUUUGCCGAGGACAUGUGUGUUGGCAGUCUGGUAAGGGCUUUGCUUGGAUGGAUCACUUGUGUCCCCCCGUCAUGCCCCCAGAAAAACCUUUCAUGGGAGUUAUUUUUUGCCUCAUUUUACACAUGGGAAAACAGUGUUAGAGUGGUGAAUUUGUUUCACAAAUCUCACCUUUCUAGGUGUUAAGGGAGAGAAAAGUACCAUGAACAACAAGAUCGAAGCAAGAGAGCAGUAGCUACCAAGGCUUCGGUGCUUACGGGCAAAGAACUCAAUUUCCCACCAAAACCAGAUGGACUGUGUUGCCGUCGUCUCUAGCCUGCACGGGAGGGAACGGUAUUUGCCCGUGGCCUGGCUUCUUGUUCGUCUUGCCUGGUUUCCGUAGUGUUAAUUCGCAUGUAGGGAUGACAGUGGAGGAGAAAGGCUGGGGAGGCGGGAGGGACCGCAGAGUUUCUAAAUCGUGGUGGCUGCUUUGCGUUUUGCAUGAGCUGUGGCUGCAGUGGCCUCUGGAUCGUUUCGUGUGGUCUCUGCGCUUCCUUCUUCCCAACCGCCCAGACCUCCCAAUUGCCCCCAAUCCUGAAAGACCAUGCCACAUUCUUUUUUUUUUUGGGGGGGGCAUGGAAAUCCAGCUUAGAAUCCUCUGGCUCAAACCAGCUUUGAAGGAGGACACAUUUCAGUUGCGUAGCAAGUAAUGGUGGUUACAGCUCGGUCACCAUAGUGAAUGGGAGGAGGGUUUGCCGGCCUGGUUUAAGACAAGAGACAGCUGCAGAGCACCAGGGUGUUGAGACCUGGCCGAGACCAGGGGGACAGAAGGAAGCCUCCCCUGAUCAUUUUGGUGUCAUUUUGUCAAGCUGUUUGCUGCACAGAAGAGCCAGCUCAGGGCUCAGCUGGGCUCAGACUUUCCAUUUCUGGCAAUUACUUCUGUAGUUGGUUGGGAAGUGCAAGCCAUAGGGUGAGGACAGUUACUAAGGACUUUGUCUUCCGAGUGGCUUUGACCUUCCUGAUUCUGAAGACAACCAACCAAAGAUGGAAACUAUUUGGACAAAAGUGCAUUUGUCUUAGACAAUACAGUUUAUCCUCUGAACAAUGUAGUAUAUAACAACUAUUAGUGUAGCAUGCACAUUGAAUUAACUGUCAUCAAUGAUCUAAAGGUGAUUUAGGGGCUGGCAUUGUGGUGCAGUGAGUUAAGCUGUCACCUACAAUGCCCUCUUCCCAUAAUGGAGCACCAGCUAGAGUCCUGGCUGCUCCACUUCCAAUCCAGCUCCUUGCUAAUGUACGUGGGAAAGCAGCGGGAGAUGGCCCAAGUAGUUGGGAAACUGUGACCCAUAUGGGAGACCUGGAUGGAACUCCAGGCUCUUAGCGUUGUCCUGGAUUGGUCCUGGACCAUCGUGGCCAUCUAGGGUGUGAAUCAGAGGAUGGAAGAUCUCUCUCUCUCUUGCUACCUCUAUCUCUAAUCUAUCUCUAUCUCUCUACCCCCGACUCUCUCUUUCAAAUAAAUAAAUAAAUCAAAGAAUACAGAUGACAAUGCAUUCAGGAAGGUGUGUGUAGGUGAAAUACUACACUAUUUUCUUAAGGGGCUUGGGCGUCUGUGGAUCUCUGGGUCUGCAAAGUUUCUGGAGCUGCUCCCCAUGGAGACGGAGGACUUCAAGGAAAGGACAACAGGUGGGGGCAUUCAGCUUGGCAGUUAAGACCCCCUGGUCGCCAUAUUGCAGGAGCUAGACUCCAUGCCCACCUCCGACGCCGGGCUCUAGCUUCCUGUCAUGCAGAACAGCGAUGGCUCAGGUGAUUGGGCUCCUCCCACCCAUGUGUUCCUGGCUCCUGGCUUUGGCCCCGGCCCAACCCCAACUGUCCUGGUCAUUUGGGAGAGUGAACUAGUAGAUGGGAACUCUUUCUCUCUAUGCCUCUCAAAUAAAUAAACAAAAAUGUAAAAUGAUACUAAAAAGUUAAAAAAGGAAGGACACAGAUCAGUUAGUUCACUUGCACGCUUGAUAACCUAGCGCAGAUCCCUCUUAGGGAGGCUGGGGGAUCAGAACAAGGACUCUUGCCUCUGGGAAAGUCCAGUGCAGCCGUUCAACGACAGGGCCGUCUUAGAAGGGGUGCAUCUUCGUUUUCGGGCCCCGGCUCUGUGCAGUGGGACUAUUCCAGUCUGCCAACCCCAGCGCCACUUUCUUAGCCCAAGCCCUGGUCCGUGUGGCCUUUGGCGAGGCGGUGCCACUUUAGGACCCGAGUAAAAAAAAAGAGAGAGCAACACGGUCGUGCCACAUAGCUGGACGGUCUCGGAUGCCUCCCCCACGUCUGACACUGGUCGCAGUUGUGUUCGAAGUCUGUGGCUGUGAGGGUUUCCAUGGCUACCCUAAAGUGCUUUGUGUAUUGGAAACUGUGAAUAAAAAGGUAAGAGGGGUGGGGAGGCUGACCAUCAAGCUCACCCAAGCCCUCAACCUCAGACUCCUGGAAGGCGUCAGCGCCAUUGAACAGCCCCAGACGGCAAACAUCCCCCAUGGCCAAGGACAUGUUUCCAAAGGCACUGGGCUUCUGCCCGUGAUGGAAGCCUUGGCUGCUCCCAGUCCACUGAGGAGUGGAGAUCCUUUAAAAGUAAUGGAAAGCAGGACACGUUCCCCUUGCUGCCCCGUCUGAGGCCUGAGCUCCGGGCGGAUGCUGCUGGCUGGUCCCCGUGCUGAUAGCAGCCUCCCUCGGGGCAGCUGCCACCUCUCCCACCAGCGCUUAUCUGGGUGAGCAGGGAGCCCUACCUUUCAGAUUCCCCUCACUUUCUGAAAGAAGGCAUUGUUAUUGUCUCCAAGCCGCCCCAGCUGGGAACAAAGGCGGAUUCUGGGUCUUCUUUCCACAAGAUGGGGCUGAAUUGGCAUUCCUUGAAGAUAGCUUAUUAUAGUCCAUUUCUGCUAACAAUUACCCGACCAUGUAGGGACGGGAUGGGAUUCCUGUAGGGUGUUGUUGAGUUUUCCUUUUCUCAUUUGCUUAUUUUGGUGGAGACUUAAAAAAAAAAAAGUGGUACAUCCUUGGAGUAUAGAUUUAGACAGGACUCGUGUAUUUUUAUCUGCGACAUAUGCGGAAAUCUCACUAGACAAUCAUUAUUUUAUACAGGUGUGUGUGUGUGUGUGUGUGUGUGAGCAUGUGUGUGUGCUUUCACAGACAGGAAAAAAAUUGGGGGUUUUUAUUUCUUUUUCUAACUUCUUGAGAACCAGAUAGGGAGAAAAAUAGUGAGUUACUGAACUCUGGCAGCACGGGUGUGGAGAGCAUGGUGGGAUGUUUCACGAGUGAAUCUAUUUUGCGUGUUAUCUGGUCUGAGCAAAUGCUUUAUGCAUGAUUGUCGGCCGGCGCUGUGGCGCAGUAGGCUAAGCUUUCUGCUGUGGCGCCGGCAUCCCGUGUGCACGCCGGUUCCUAGACUGGCUGCUCCUCUUCUGGUUCAGCUCUCUGCUUAUGGCUUGGAAAAGCAGCGGAAAAUGGCCAAGUGCUUGGGCCCUUGCACCCAGGUGGGAGGCCUGGAAGAAGCUCCUGGCUUCAGAUUGGCCUAGCUCUGGCUGUUGUGGCCAUUUGGAGAGUGAACCAGUGGAUGGGAGACCUUUCUCUCUGUCUCUCCCUCUCUCUGUCUGCAACUGUGCCUGCAGGUAAAUAAAUACAAUCUUUUAAAAAAAAUGUAUGCUUGUGACAGAGAAUUGCAUCUGCUUGCCUUGAUGUGUUUUAAGUAAAAGGAAUUCUCGACUCUGCUGGAAUUGGUCAAAUAGGAGUAAAAUGUUGUUAUUGUAGGUUUGGGAGAUUGGGCGGUUCAGGCUCUCAUGUUGCAGUGCCUAAGCAGAUGGCCAGGAUGUUUGGUGAGACCUAUAAGCUGAUUUUUGUUAUUGCAAUACAACCUCCAUGGAUGUUUCAGUUCAUAAUGCUCAGACCACUGAGGCCCCGGAAAUACGUUGUGUGGCUGUCUGUAAAACAUGUCACUUUUGGGGCCUGCACUGUGGCUUAGUGGGUUAAAUUGUUGCAUGUAGUGCCAGGAUCUCAUAUAGGUGUUGGUUUGGGGUCCCAGCUGCUCUACUUCUGAUCCCUGCUAAUGCACCUGGGAAAGCAGCAGAGGAUGGCCAAGUGCUUGGGCCCCUGCACCCACGUGAAGGACCCAGAAGAAGCUCCUGGCUUUGGUUUGGCCCAGUCCUGGCUGUUGCAGCCAUUUGGGGAGUGAACCAGUAGAUGAAAGUAUUCUGUCUCUCUCUGCCUCUGCCUCUCUUUCCUCUCCAUAACUCCACCUUUCAAAGAAAUAAACAAACCUUAAAAAGAAUGUCAUUUUCCAACCGGCCAAUUUUCUGUGUUAAAAUGAGAAGUUGUCUUGUCUGAGCAUCUCUGGCCGGGCAGGCUGCCUUGGCUCAGGCCUGCUUGGGAUUCUGGCCUCCUCUGCAGUAAGGGCUGGAUGUAAAAAGCCAAUCCAAACCAAACACCUGACACUCCCAGCAUCGUCCUUCCCUGAGACCUGCUUGUGUGGGCGAGGCAUUGCGGCUGGAAUCGGCAGGUCCCUCAGUGCCCUGCCUGGUGACAGGUGAGAGCCUCCCUAAAUAACCUUGCACCCUGACGUACCCCAGGAGCCAAGUAGACACCCAGACGUUCCCUGGACAUCAGGAGGUUUGGGUGCUUGGGCUUGGACGGAGGCUGCCUUGGGAGUUAAGAGAGGGAGAAUGUCUCAGGGGCCCUCACGUCCUUGUAGUUCUUUGUAAUGUGAGCCACCUGCCAAACACACUGGAUCCCUUCUCGAUGAGCCUGUAUGUGGUAGCAGUUAGAUAGAUUCGUGGUGGUUUGUUGGUGUCAACCAAAGCCAAGCGCCACCUUCCCCGCACACCCCUCUGCUCCCACCUUCCUGGCUGCCUCUGUCUGGCAGGCCCCACACAUGGAUUUUAAUUUUCAACACUUAGCACCUGACUUCGUGAUCUAAGAUCAUUGACUCAGAAAACAGGAAAGGUCAGUCUGCCUAACACCUCACCCAGCGUCCCGGGAUUAGCAUCCAAAACAAACAGAUCCGAGAUGGGAUGUAGACUCCCAAGAGACGAUUCCCACGUGUGAGAGCGCCUAGGCGAUGGCGUUUCUCAAGCUCACUGACGUCACGGCAGGCUCAUGAUCCAAGGCUUCAGCUCACUCCAGUUGGAGGCUGCAAGGGUUACCCGAAGAACAGGAGAGCUAGGUUGGUGGAUUAGGAAAACCAGCAGGGGAGGGAGAGGAGCUCUUUCUGCUAAUCAAAGGAGAAACCAAAUAGAACGAAUGAAGUCCAAGAAAAAUACAACUCUAUUGUUUUGGGGGCAUAAUAUGCAGGCCUAGAGGCUUCAUUGAGUAAUUCGAGUCACACCCGUCCUCUGUGGGACUGAAGGAAUGUUGGCUCAUUCUCCCCAGGCCAGGUGGGAGGUGGGCAGAUAGCUCUAUGGAGAUGAGCAUUUCUUGGAGCUAGAACUCUCUGAACGUCCCCACAGCCUUGCAGCUGGGAGACUGGGACACAAAGAAGCAGGAAUGCGGUGCUGAAUCGAGGCCAAGGAGCCCCAGCCAUGCAACCAACUCAGAAUCCUCAGAAAAGGGGCCUAAGAAACAGUUUGAACUCCAGCCAGGCCAGUCUGAGUACUGCCGGCAUGAAAAGAUCCAUCUUAAAUUGGCUUAAUACACAUAUGAUUAAUUCUACAUUACGAGUUCAACAAGUAUUAUGAAGAAAAAACAAACAAAAAAAAGCCAAAACUGUUCCUCAACAAUCAAGACAAGGACCUCUCAAGUCAUCCCUUCUCGAAGUGUCAAUAUCACUUCUACAGAUUUUGUUUUCGGUGAAGGUGGUGCAACUCUGGACAUCUCCAAGAGCAACUGCCACAGUCAGCUUUAGGGGACUUCUGACAGCCGGAGGAGCGAUGCCAGGGUGGGAAUCGGCAGCAUCUCCUGAACUGGGAGGCUGUGGCAGAAUAGAGUGCGUCGUUUCCACCAAUGAACAUAAGCCUUCACAGGAGAUGAUUUAACUGUGGUCGGCUUAAUGGCCUUACUUCUUUCCUGCUCUUGCUUUGAAAGGAUGCAGAAAUACGGCAGCUGUUUCAGGGAUUCCAUAAGAAAGAGGAGCUGUCACCAUAGCAAGGUGAUACUGCUGUUGAUAAUGGUUUUGAUGACAUUACUAAUAACAUCAAGCCUUUAUGAAACAAGUACUAUAUGCCAAACCCCAGAGAAGUGAUUGUCAACCAGGAGUGCCUUUACCCUACAGGGCACACAUGGAAAGGUUUGGAGAUUUUUUUUAUCUUAAUGAUGGAGACGGUAAUGGGAAGCCACGGAUGCUGCUACAUAUGCUGCAAUGUUCAGGACAAGACCCAUUCUGCCCCCAACCCCCAUUAAAGAAUUGUCUCACCCAAAAUGUCAUUAGUUUUAAGGAUUCAUAAUUGUGCAUUUGAGGCAUUUAAGCGUAUUUCAAAAAAAUCUAUUUAUUUGAAAAUGAGGGUGGAGUUGGGAGAUGGAGAGAAAAACAGAAAUCUCCCAUCUGCUGGUUCACUUAUUAAAUGCCCACAACAUCCAGGGCUGGACCAGACCAAAUCCAGGAGCUUUGAACUCAAUCCAUGUCUCUCUUGAGUAGCAGGGAGCCAACCAUUGAGCCAUCACCUGAUGCCUUCCAGGGUGUGCAUCAACAGGAAGCUGGAAUUGGAUGAAGCCAGGCAUUGUGACAGGGGCUGCAGGCAUCCCAAGAGGUGACUUAACCACUAGCCAUGUGCUCACCUCUUUGACACAAGUUUAACCUUCAAAUGGCCUUGUGAGGCAUACAGUAUUAUCAUCUCCACUUUAUAAUGAUGGCAUUUAAGUGUAAAGGAACAAGCUCCAGCUGUUUCAACCUUCAAACACUCUCAGGGUUCUUCCUUGCUUCCUUGAGACAACUUUGGUCCCCCUCUGAUUAUUGUGGAACAUCUGGAUUUGUUCAGUGGCUGGGAAGUGGUUCCUUCCAACAUCAGCAUGGCAGUUAUUCAGCUCAACCCAAGCGACCCCCAUUCCUUUCUGGGGUGAUGCUGGCUAACAGCUGGUGGCUGGAGCAAGGGGAGAAGACAUUAUACAGUGUCUACAAAAGUUAUGAAAAGUUGACUUAGCAGCUAAGAUAAGCAACCAGCAAGAUAGAGUGAGAAUCUAUACGGAUAGGAAAAUGUCUCCUAAGCAUAGUUUCUGGAGUUUUCCCUCACGUGCUCUGUUCUUUGUUCCAGUCCUCUGAUAGUGGUGUGGCAUGUGCCGUCGGGAAGACAGAAGCCCUCAUGCCAUGAAAGUCAGAUCAGAAGGCAAUCUCCAGGCUGCAACCUUGUAUAGAAUUAGGUCAUUGGAUUCCCAGAGUGUUGAGUCCUUUGGAAGACAAUUUCUGUUUUUCUUUAUUUCCCUUUUGAUAAAUGCCAAGCUCCUUGUCAAAAUAUUUAUGACUAGAGACAGCAAGAUCAGACAUUUUCUUUUGAAUCAUUUCUCUUGGAUGUUCUGACUACUUCUUGUCUCUUUUUUUCCUCAUCUCAUUUUCUCCAACUUUUUAAAGUUCUUAUUUCCACAUGUUUCUGACAUGUUAUAAGACUUCUCAUCACCCCUGUAAAAUAGAGGUAAGGGAGAGACGAGAAUUGUCUAAAUAAUUAAGAGGUCUACCCUCUUGGGAAAUUUGUGUGGUUGGGGCAAAUGAAAGCAAAGACCUCUUUAAUGUGGUGAAGGCCAACUUAAAAGUCUUUUGUAAAGGUUUUAAGUUAAUUUAUUUAUUGACAGAGAGACAAAAGAGAGAAAAAGUGAGAGAGCGCACUCCCAUCUUCUGGUUCACUCUACAAAAGCCUGCAAUGGUGGAUCGAGGCACCACUGUGACCCAGUGCGUAGAGCUGCUGUCUGCAGUGUCGGCAUCCCAUAUGAGUGCCAGUUCUAGUCCCGGCUGCUCCUCUUCCAACCCAGCUCUCUGCUAUGGCCUGGGAAAGCAGUAGAAGAUGGCCCAAGUCCUUGGGCCACUGCACCCCCCUGGGAGACCUGGAAGCAGCUCCUGGCUCCUGACUCCUGGUUUCAGAUUGGCCCAGCUCUGGCCAUUGCCACCAUUUGGAGAGCGAACCAGCAAAUGGGACACCUCUCUCUCUCUCUCUCUCUCUCUCUCUCUUUCUGCCUCUGCUUCUCUGUAACUUUCAAAUAAAGAAAUUAAUCUUAAAAAAAAGCCUGCAAUGGUUGGGGCUGGCCUGAGUCACCUGGGAGUGGGACACUCAGUCCAGGUCUCCCCCUUGGGUGGCAGGGAGCCAGCUGCUCAGGUCAUCACUGUUCCUCCGAGGGUGCACAUUAGCAGGAAACAGGAACCAGGAGUGAGUGAUGGCUGGAACGCAGGCACUUCGCCGUGAGUUGGGUGUCCGACCUUCAUCUUAACCACUAACCCAAAUGCCUGCUCUCGAAAGUUUGAAAGAUAUAAAUUGAGUACAAAUUCAAAUAUUUUUCCCUAACAAUUUUCAAAAAUCUUCUGUCCUAAUCAGUUGUAUGCUUUGUUUUAUUUCUGGUGCAUAUUUAAAUAUUAUGAUUAUGAUUUAAAUUAGAUGAAUCCAAUGAAAGUCAAAAUACAGGUUAACAAACAUGGUUAAUCAUGAAUUUGGGGCAAAGCCGUGUAUUAUGAGCUGUGACAGGCACUGAGAUGAAUAUGUUAUAUUCAUCUGUUCUGGAGGAACAUGCCAUUUUUCUGGGCAAAAUGAAUAAAAGUGAGGAUAAUUCAAAGAGUUUAUUGAAAAAUGGAAUUAAAAGAUAAGUUUAUUUUGGUGAAAAAUUUUUGAAAUUUAUGCAGUAUUUUUCACAAUACAAAAUUUCCAUGAACUUUAUAAAGAUCCUUUCUCUGCAUGGAUUUCAAUCUUUUUUGCACCAAAAGAAAUGUAACUUUAAAAAAAGAAAUUUAUUUAUUUACUUGAAAGGCAGAAUUAGAGAGAGAGAGGGAGGGAGAGAGAGAGAGAGAGGGAGAGAGAGAGAUUUUCCAUCUGCUGGUUUACUUCCCAAAUGGCUGUAAUAGUCAGGGCUGUACCAGAUGGAGGCCAGGAGCCUGGAACUCCAUCUGGGUAUUCCAAGUGGGUGGUAGGGGCUCACAUACUUGGGCCAUCUCCUGCUGCUUUCCCAGGAUCAUUGUCAGGAAGUUGGAUCAGACAUGGAGCAGCUGGGAGUUGAACUGGCAUCCAUAUAGGAUGCAGGCAUUGCAAUUGGUAGUUUAGCCUGCUAUGCCACAACACUGCCCCCAAGAAACUUAUCUUUUAACUCUAUUUCCCAUGAACUUUUGGAAAUAUCCUUGUAGACAUCGAAUUGCCAGGAUAAUAAGUGUGUAGGUUAUUGAUUGCUCUGUAACAAAAGCUAGCGGCUCAGAUGAUACCUAUAUACCAUCUCCCACUUUCUGUGUCAGGAUUCCGGCCAUGGCUUAACUGGGCCAUGUGUUUCAAGGUCUCUCGCAAGAUUGCGAUCGAGGUGUUGAAUGAGGGUCUGUGGUUCCAUCUGAAGCCACACUAGAGAAAGGAUUCUCUGUGCAGCUCCUCCGUGGCAUUGUUGAUGGGACUUAUCUCAGUGAUGGCUGUUGGAUUGAGGGUCUCAGUUCUUACCAGCUGUUGGUUGCAGGUCACUCUCAGUCCCUUGCCACCUAGGCCUCUGCAACAAGACUUCUGGCUCCAUCAAAACAUGCCAGCUGAGAGGGCAAUGGCGAGAGUCUGCAGACAAGACAGAGUUACACAGCUUUGUAAAAGUGAAUUUUGGAAAUUACAACCCUUGUCCCAACCACUAGGUCCAGCCCACAUUCAGUUUCGCUGGGAGCUAGAUUGGAACCUGUGUGUCACAUAAGGUUUAAAGAAUCAUUCAAGGGCAGCUCGAAGAAGCCGUGAUUCUGUGAAAGCAUGGAAUGAUAAAGAAAUCUUAAAAAUAAGAUUUUUAAAAUUUAUUUAUUUUGACAGGCAGAGUUAGACAGUGAGAGAGAGAGACAGAGAGAAAGGUCUUCCUUCUGUUGGUUCACCCCCGAAAUGGCCGCUACGGCUGGUGUGCUGUGCUGAUCCGAAGCCAGGAGCCAGGUGCUUCCUCCUGGUCUCCCAUGCUGGUGUAGGGCCCAAGCACUUGGGCCAUCCUCCACUGCCUUCUUGGGCUACAGCAGAGAACUGGACUGGAAGAGGAGCAACUGGGACAGAAUCCGGCGCUCCAACUGGGACUAGAAACUGGGGUACCGGCGCCGCAGGUGGAGGAUUAGCCUAGUGAGCCACGGUGCCAGCCAAAAUCUUAUUUUUAAAAUGAGGUAUUCUCUGGCUAUAUUGAUACUUGACUGGUGUAGAGAUUUUUGGCAUCUACUCCUUGAUUUAUAUACCUGGUUAUGCCCUGGAAAAACUGCAAGUCUACAGGAAUUGUGAUUGCAAUCUUAGGUACUACUUCACGUAUUGUGUCCUGAAUCAUGAUGAAAUAUGAAGCCUCAACAGAAUUCCAAAGUCACAUUUAUGAUUGUUCUAUUCUAUUUCUGCCUUGCUGAAAUUUCUGUAGUCAUAAGUUCAAUUAGUAGUUUGCAUAGUCACUCAUUUUAAGAAUCAAGUAAUGCCAGAUAGCAAAACUCAAAAAUGAAUUAACUUUGAGGAACUAGACAAUGAAACUCAAAAAUGAUAAGAUUUACUUUUGAGGCCCUCUCCUCUGUACAGACCAGGAGUCCGCACCUGUGUCGUAUGGGGUGCAGGUGGGGUGUUUCAAUCUGCCUCCACCAAUGUGUUUCUCAAGAGAUAAAAAAUGAUUUUACAUUUCUUUCUUUUUUAAAAAAGAUUUAUUUAUUUGUUUUGAAAGAGUUAGAGAGCGAGAGAGAGAGAUCUUCCAUCUGCUGGUUCACUCCCCAGAUGGUUGCAACGGCUAGCACUGGGCCAGCCUGAAACCAGGAGUCAGGAGUCAGGAGUCAGGAGCAUCAUCUGGGUCUCCCACAUGGGUGUCAGGGGCCCAAACACCUGGGCCAUAUACUGUUUCUUUUCCCAGGCCAUUAGCAGGGAGGUGGACUUGAAGUGGAGCAACCACGACCCAAACUGUCACUUGUAUGGGAUGCUGGCGUUGCAGGUAGUGGCAUUACCUGCUUUGCCACAACGAAUGCUGGACCUGCAUUUCUUUUACUGUUUGAAAAACGAAGAGUACUUUGUGAGCUAUGAAAGUAAUCUAGAAUUAAGAUUGCAACAUCUAAACUAUUACUGGAGCACAGCCAUGCCUAUCUGUUCACAUAUUGUCUACUGUAGCCUGCGUGUUUGUAUCGUCCCAGAUUUAUGUGUUGAAGUCUAACCCCCAAUGUGAUCCUGCUUUGGGAGGCUGAUGAGGAUGGAGCCCUCAUGACUGAGAUCAGUGCUCUUAUCAAAGAGAACCUGGGAGCUCUUGCUUCUGUCCCUCCAUGUGAGGACACAGCAAGAGACAGUCAUCUCGGAACCAGGACAUGGAAUCUGCUGGUGUUGUGACGUGGACUGUUGCUUAUCAGUCUGUGGAAUUCUAGGCAGCCCACGUGGAGUAAGGAGCAGUGUGUGGCUGCUUUUGCUAAAAGGACAGAGUGAUUGCUGCAGAAAUCGUGUAGUCCACAAAACCUAAACUAUUUAUUUGAUCUGUUGAGAGAACGUGUGCCCACUUUUGCCUGGAAGAAGAUGAACAUACAAACAAGUGAUUGUUGCGCUGUGAUAAGUGACACAUGAGACUUAUACACGGGGAACAUGCAGAGCCCAGAAUGGGAGUUUGCAAGCUUUGCAGAGGGUUCCUGGAGGAUACACAGGAGUCUUCCCAGAAUGGGAGGAGAAAAGAGAGGAAGUCUAUUUCAAGGGCCCUUAAAUUGGCACCUGCCAACUCCUGAGAGUGAAAGGGUCUCCCUAUACCUGUGUCUAUGUAUGCAUAGGUAUCCCUAGGGAGAGGAUUCAUCUCUUUCCAUAGUUUUCAACAGCUUAAGAGCCACAAAGGUGCUACAGAGAGUCACACACUUACAGGGAUCAGCAGUGAGAUCCAUGGGAACACAAAGCAGAUGUCUGUGGGUGCACAGGAAAAUGACUCAGGACCUGGAUGGAGCGGAGGUCCGAGGCUGGCUCCGUAUAGCACAAGGAUACUGCACAGAAUCCAGUUAAGCAGACUUGGUCUUUACUCUCCAGCAGACUCUCCAUCAGAGGCAUCUCAUGAAUAACAGGUAAGAGGAACUCAGCCAGGGCGGGUGAAGCUGCCGUCUGCGACGCCUGCAUCCCAUACUGACUGGUUCAAGUUCCAGCUCCCAUCCAGCUCCCUGCUAAUGCACUUGGGAAGGCAUUCGAGUAUGGUCCGUAUGAUUGGGACCCUGCCACCCACGUGGGAGACCUGGAUGGAGCUCUGGGCUCCUGGCUUUAGCCUGGCUCAGCCCUGGCUGCUGUGGUCAUCUGGAGAAUGAGCCUGUGAAUGGAAAAUUUAUCUUCUCUCUCUCUCUGUCACUGCCUUUCAAAUAAAUAAAUAGAUAUUAAAAGAAAAAAGGAGCAGAAAGCAGUCAAAUCCAGAGAGGUGGUGGGCUGGCAAUUCAUCUUGUGAAGGCUGGAACUCUUGGCCAGAUGACCAAGUCUCUAAUCAGUCCUUGAUCAAAUCCCAUUCCUUAUCCCCUUCCAACUAAGACACAGCAUUGACUGAGUCUGGCCAAACAGCCAGAGGCCGGCACACAACCCAGCGCCCUCCUUGAGACCCCUGUCUUUGUACUUGAUGUACUGUGGAGCAGAAAACAACACAGAUCCCCCAGCAGUGGGCAAGCCAGAUCCUGGGACUGGGAAAAGGAGGCUCUGGACUUUAGGUGUGUGGGGAAGUGGGGCAGGGAGGUAAUGGUUUUCACUGGAUUCCCUUUUAUAUUUUAUUUAGAUUAAGUUCUGCUCAGCAGGGCGAUUUCUUAAUGAGAGUAGCCCAGCCAGGCAGACCUGUAGCUCAGCCCCCUGUGCUGCCUUCUAGGGUUUCACGAGGGACCUUGUCCUGUCUUAUUUCCUGAGCUCCAGUAUUUGAAUAGUAUGCAGUGGAUUUCAAUGGGAGGAAAAGACAUGUAAUUUAAUCAUCUUUAUUAGAUUUGGCCGGUGGAUGGGGACAGGAGGAGGAAGGAGGAGAGACGUGGGUUCCCUCUUUGUUAAUUUUGUUUCUUUUUCUCUAACUUUUCUUCCAGUGGUCAAAACAAAGGAGAAUCAAUGACCCCCAAAUCUUCUUCCUUGUCUGUGUUUUUUUUUUUUUUAAACAAAAGAGCUAAAUGAGAACAUUAAGCCCGAAAGGGACUUGUGUUCAUUGCAUAUAUGUGUGCAAAUUCUGCGAUUCCUCCCUCAGUGACCUGGGUUCUGAGAGUGAGUGUCCUGCAGCUUUUCUGUCCCCUCCAUCACUCCAGAAGUUGUAGACUUAGCUCAGCAAAGCCUCAAAAACAGAGGAAAGCGAAGCACAAAUGAUCCGUGGUGCAUAUUUUUAAAGCCAGGCUAUGCAUUGGCAUCAUUUCUCCCACCCCUCAGGGGAGAAAAACAACCUGUAGAAGCAGAGAAAGAUGAGGAACCAGUGCAGGAUCCCAGAGAGAGAGAGAGGAGGGAAGGUUUGUCCUGUUGCUGUCCUGGGAAUGUCUGUCCAGGGAUGGGAUGGGAGGCUCAGAGGGAUGUAUAAGAGCUAACAGUCCCCAGGAUGUUUCGGGGGAAAUCUACUGGGGAUUUUCAAGAACGAAAUCAGCAUGGCUCAUCCAAAAGAAAAGGAAAAGAAAGAAUUGUGUGCAGAGUCUCCCAGUUGUCCUGCUGAGUGCAUGUGUGUGCACAUAUGUACACACGUGCUGUGCACGUAUGUACACACAUGUACAUGCAGACAUGCACACACACACACAUACCCUGCAGCCUGUAAUCCCCCUCACGCCCCUAUCCUGUUGAUCUUUCCUCACUUAAAAAUUAUCGGCAAAGAAUUUAUUCAUUUGGGAAGGUUCCAGGCACUACAUUUAUGCUCCGUUCAAAUGAAAUGGGAUCCAGACCUUUCAAGCCGUGCUGUUUCACAGAUAAAACACCAAGGCAGAACCUCGUUAUCUGGAGACGUGGCCCUUUCUUUUUCCUUCUUUUUGCCUUUUGUUUCUCAGCAACUUAACGCUUGUUUGGAACGUCUCAGAACAGGGGCAGGACAUUUUUCUCAGCACCUAUUUCAGGAGGGUUUUUGGUUCAGAAUAACAAAUUUGCCUCUAAAUAGAUGAAAGAGUUCUCAAAAAGCUAAGAAAGACACUUCUAGUAAUGGACCCUAUAGGCUGAUCUCAAUCCACUCAUUGUUAAAAAUGCUUGGUCUAAUAGUCUCAUUUGUGUGCCAAGUAUCUUUAUUAAAUCAUUAUAUUAACACAGGAAAAAAACAUCCCAUUACAAUGAGUUUCUCUGUAGGAUCAAAAGUUGUCCAUGGUUUUGCUGAUGGCCUUCUUACUCUGAAAUGUGAAAAGUGGAGGCUAAAUCUCUCAAAAGUCAUCGCACUAUGGCUGGAGGGGUAAGCGUGUCCUGUGCAGGCAAAGGCUGAAUUUUUCCGAAGGUCACAGUCUCUAGACAAAAAGAAAACCGUGACAAAGAAGUCCUUUGAUCCACCCAUGGAAAUGAAUUCUUGGCAACACUGUCCUAGGAGUUCACCUAUAGAACCACAAUGAGGCUGUGAUGUCUGUGUUGACUUAAAGAAAACCAGGGGCCAAUUCCAAGGCAACUGGCGUUGGUGAAUCCAGGGUUGUGGGCGGUAAAAACACUUAAAAAAGUCAGGAGAAGCACACUUUGGUGUGUUUGUAUAUUAGAUUUUGAACCUGAACUAAACACACGCACACACACGCACACAUGUAUGCACACGCACAUACACACAACCACACGUUUUGAUUGUGAAAUCAAUCCAUGCUCAUUAGAGAAGGAAACAUCACUCCAGACCCCACCACUGAGAAAGCACAUUUAUUCUGGCCUCAUGAAGUUGCUCUCUGCCUUCACAUUGAAGAGAGUUUGAAGUUCUGGGUUAGAGUGUGGUCUGGAGGCGUGGGUCCUGAGGGACACCACGCAGAAGUCGAAAGAGAGGCAAUAGAACUCAGAGGGUCCAGCACUGUGGCUGUUACAGAGACCUGGGGGACCGGGUCGGUCAGGCGAGGGUGGUCACUCAGAGGGUCCGAAUGGAGCUUUGGACCCGUGUGACUCUGCAAGACAAGAUCUUGGGUAGCGCCAACACGUAGCAGCAGAUUUGGGAGGGAUGUGGCUGACAAUGGGGAGGUGAAGGGGAGCAUGUCAAAUGCUCAGCCUUAUAGACACAUUGGAAAUCCUUUGGCCCAAGUCCUUGGGUGCCCCCCGCACCCACGUGGGAGACCUGGAUGAAGCUCCAGACUCCAGGUUUUGUCCUGGCCCAGCCCCAGCUGUUGUGGCCAUUUGUGGAGUGAACCAACAGAUGGAAGAUCUCUCUCUCUCUCUCUCUCUCUCUGUCUCUCCCUCUUUCUCUCUGCAACUCUUUCAAAUAUAUAAAUAAAUCUGAAAAAAAAGCUAAGAAAAUUCUUCAGCUUUGCAAGGAUUAUUGAUCUAAAUUGCCUUACUUGCUUGUUCCAGAUGCCUGAGCACCUGGCGUGGUUACUGAGUACCUGCCACGUUAAAAUUAAACAUUUGUGAAUCCAGACUGAUUUUUCUCUUGUUGUUUUGAUUGUACUUGUGAUGCACUCACAGCCUGAUGGUCUUUGAGGUCUGGCUUAGAUUAGCCCCUGGCUGAGAGACCCACACUAAUUUCAUGAGUGAAAUUAUGCCUGCCUCUGAUUGGGUUCUGCUCCUCACAGGGGCUUUUUCUGAGUUGGUUUACUCCAAUAGAGGCAAUAGUUGUGAUGAGCCUUCUAUA